RNAcentral lists this ribosomal RNA (255 nucleotides) under uncultured bacterium. RNAcentral's name for it is "partial 16S ribosomal RNA". It matches the Rfam family "Bacterial small subunit ribosomal RNA", at positions 524 to 777 of the family's 1533-position model. The record is from RNAcentral.
UACGAAGGGGGCUAGCGUUGCUCGGAAUCACUGGGCGUAAAGCGCACGUAGGCGGACUCUUAAGUCGGUGGUGAAAUCCUGGAGCUCAACUCCAGAACUGCCUUCGAUACUGAGAGUCUUGAGUCCGGGAGAGGUGAGUGGAACUGCGAGUGUAGAGGUGAAAUUCGUAGAUAUUCGCAAGAACACCAGUGGCGAAGGCGGCUCACUGGCCCGGUACUGACGCUGAGGUGCGAAAAGCGUGGGGAGCAAACAGGG